CGUCUAUAUACGUAUAGCAUAUCAAUAAGCGGAGGAAAAGAAACUAACUAGGAUUCCCUCAGUAACGGCGAGUGAAGCGGGAAGAGCUCAAAUUUGAAAUCUUCAAGGUUUUACCUUGACGAAUUGUAGUUUAAAGAAGUGUUUUCUGUUGGAAUUUUGGUAAAAGUUCUUUGGAAAAAGACAUCAAAGAGGGUGAGAAUCCCGUAUUUGACCAUUAUUUCCAGCUUUGUGAUACACUUUCAAAGAGUCGGAUUGUUUGGGAAUGCAGUCCAAAAUGGGUGGUAAAUUUCAUCUAAAGCUAAAUACUGGCGAGAGACCGAUAGCGAACAAGUACCGUGAGGGAAAGAUGAAAAGAACUUUGAAAAGAGAGUUAAACAGUACGUGAAAUUGUCCAAAAGGGAAGCGUUUGACACCAGUGUUGUUUUCUCGAAAAUCAAUUAAAAAUGAUUGGAUUUUGUGUUGUAUUGACUUUAUCAGCUUUCUGCACUCCUUUCUUAUCUUUUUUAAUGCACUUUUCGUUUAACAAGUCAACAUCAAUUUCUUUUGUUGUAAAAGGGUCAUUGGAAGGUGGCUUUCUUUUCGGAGAAAGUGUUUAUAGCCUUUGACUUCUGCAAUCGGAGAGAUUGAGGUCUGCAGCGUAGAUCCUUCGGGGUUAGAUGACAUUUGUGCUAAGUUAUAGCCUUUCAUAGACAACUUGUUGACUAUGAUCAGUCAUGUAGCUUACUCGCUUAUGUCAUUUUACCUACGCUUAGGAUGUUGACGAUCAGCUGAGCGCG
RNAcentral lists this ribosomal RNA (776 nucleotides) under uncultured Neocallimastigales. RNAcentral describes it as "partial large subunit ribosomal RNA". It matches the Rfam family "Eukaryotic large subunit ribosomal RNA", at positions 26 to 628 of the family's 3401-position model. The record is from RNAcentral. Lineage: Eukaryota; Fungi; Neocallimastigomycota; Neocallimastigomycetes; Neocallimastigales.